RNAcentral lists this long non-coding RNA (21088 nucleotides) under Linum usitatissimum (flax). RNAcentral describes it as "long non-coding RNA (LUSI_LNC002868)". The stretch from base 13863 to 13935 matches the Rfam family "tRNA". The record is from RNAcentral. Lineage: Eukaryota; Viridiplantae; Streptophyta; Magnoliopsida; Malpighiales; Linaceae.
UUGCCUCCUUUCUUCCUUCUAAUUUAGCAUGCAUCAAUGCCAUUUUUUAUGGAAAAUAUUAGAACAUAAAACUUUCACAGAUAGGCAUUAGUUUAUGUACUGGUGUGUUAAGAAAAGGGACGAAUAGCUUACCAAUUUGAUGUAGAAGCAGGUUCAGUAUUAAAUUGUUAAAAGAGCAGCUGCUAAGAGUUCAGUUAGCUAGAGUUAACUGUUAAACUUACUGUGAAUGAGUUUUGGUACAUAAAACUCUUGCGGUUCUAGCAUUGUUAUGACUACUAUCACCCUCUUAACGAGAAAGGAAAAUGAUACUAAAUCAGGCUUCAAGAUUCUAUAUAUAGUUGUAGGUAUCAUCCAAGAGUUUUUUUUCCCUUUUAAAUGCAAGUAUGGAUCUGUACCUUUCAAGCUUGAAGCUUCUCUCUGUAUACUAUCCAGUAUAUCUGCAAGUGUCGAUUGGUUGCAUAUGUAACAAAUUUCGGUGCUUAAAACUAUGUGGUAGUGUGGUAGCCUUGAGACCUUUGUUUUACCAUUUUGGUUGCGACAUGCGUUAUGUCUUCUAGAAGGGUUUCUUAUCUAAGUUCGUUUGUUUAUCUUGUGGUUAAGGAUGUCUUCAGAAUCAAUGAGCCGUGUGUGUGUGUGUUAUAUUGUAUACGUGCAAGAAGCCUUGAAGUUCAUAAGUGCCUGUUGUGCCACAGUAGUAAAGUAAAACCGGUGCAACAUACUGUAUUGAACAGUAUUAGUACAUGGAUGUUAGUUGAACUGACCGGUAUACUGCACUGCAGGUGGGACAUCGAAACGGGACAGGCCAUCAGUGUCAGGAAGCUCAAACGAAAGUGAAAAAUGCUCAUUGCAGAAGCGGGCAAGGAAGGAGGUGAGCGGAUUCUUUGAUCUAAAUAUGCCGGCAGACUUGAUUGAAAGGAACUGAAAAAGGCUGAAGAUGUGUACAGAAGUAAGUCAAUACCAUAUUUUUUGACCAUGGAUGUUAAGAGUAAUUAAUGAGUAAGGCACGCAUGUGAGUGCGCCCUCCAAGACACUUGGUCUAAUAUUUUCUGCAAUUCCUGCGGGUUUUUUUUAUUGUUCUUUUCGUCGAAAUCUCGUGUUACUGCUAUGUGCUGCUGGGAUGUUGUACAUAGCCUUCCAUGAAAUGGGAGGUUGUUGGGAAUGGAUAGAUACGGUCGACGUGGGAGGGGUGGGUUAGAGUUGGAUUUUGUUGGACUGAUAAUGUAAUGCCUGCAAAUUCCCAGUUGGGAACAGUUAAUCCAGUUUUAAUUUUAUUUCUGCUUUGUUUUCAAGUGCUGCAACUGUCUGUUGCUGUUGCAUGCAUGGUAUCGGGUCUUCAGUGGAGAAGUUGGCUGCCUGUCGAUUUGGUUAUGAUCACUCGGUUAUUUGUUCAGACUUGAGAUUUCAAUGAUUGCAGGAAUAUGGUUUGAAGUUUGGUGAUUUCCAUGUUAAUAGGUGAAAGUCUAGUGACCGGACAAGUAAUAAACCCAACUAGGGCCGUUGAUGAACCAAACUACUCUCAAGUAGUUCGGUGUUCGACUCGGGAAAAACUCGUUUGUGAUUUGACGCUUAGCGAGUCAAACUUGAGUCAAGGUAUGUUUGAUUCGAUAGCCUCGCGAGUUGGCUAGAGUUCGAGAGCCAACUCGAAUACUAAUUCGAUAAUAUAGCUCGUUAUUAGAUUCAAUAAUGCAACAUGUGGCUUGUCACAAAUAACAUAUGCGAUAAAAGAUAUAUGUAAAAACUUAUUUUAGAAUAAUUUAUUUUUUAACUUGAUUUGUUGAUAUUUUUUAGGUAUAUACUUCAAAUCAACUUAAUUGAACUUUCAUUGUAUGUUUUAAAGAAUGAAAUUUGAGCUGAGCUCGAACUUGACUAUCAACAAGCUAGACUCUGGACCAAAAUUUUAUAGCAUGAGUUUGAGUUUGGCUCAAACUUAAUGAUCAAGAUUUUCGAUUUCCUACGAGUAUAAUAGGUAGAGAGAUUAGUCAGAUGUGCUAUGCUGUUGUCUGUAAUUGUCUCACUCUCCACUGAAGCUUCACGUCAACGAACUGUACCGUUAUGAUAGUACCAAAAAUCCCUCACCUCGCGUUCUGUUUCCUCUCUACAAAAAUCCAUCAUCUCUCUCUCUGUAACCAACAAUUUUCUACCCCUCCCUCAUAACUUCCGCUGCCGUUCACACGGCCGGUGUCUCUUCUCCUCUAGUUACCUCUGAAGUGCAAACUUAAUUUGAACUGUACCGCCGGUGUCCUAGCUUAGUACUAGCUUGUUUCCGUUCACAGACCUCUGACUGAUUGGGGUUCGUCUAGUAGAGAAAUUGAGAUGGAACAGCUGCUAUCAGCUGCACCCGAUGCUAGAUCCAACGAAACUGCUCUUGAUUCCGUCCAAUUUGGGGAUGAUAUCCGCCACUUAAUCACCGCCCCGACUGAAAAUUCGAGCUCCUUCACCGCUCUCCUCGGUUUGCCGCCCAAUCAGGCCAUGGAGCUACUCCACUCGCCGCCUGAUUCUACCUUCAAGACCUCACCCGACGGCCCCAAGCUGUACCAACCGCCUCACCACUUCAAUGCCGACUUGCUCACCUUCCCCGCCAACGCCGCCUUGAACAUUUCGCCCGAGACCAACUCGAAUUCCAGAGCGAAGCUGAUGCAGAAGACCGUGAAGGGCGAACCGGCAGAUACUGUAUCUUACCUGAUCAAUUCGUCGCAGCCGUUGGCUUCCGAUUCAACUGUCGUAGAUAAUCAGAGGCCGGGUGCAAAGAGGAAGGAGAGAGAAAAGAAGGUAGAAAUUAGGGUUCCUAGCUACUUCCAAGUGUGUUCUGGAUUUCUUUGUCUAAUUCAGUUCCGUAAAUGCAAACCCAUCGCCUAUUGAUCGAUCAAUCCAUCCAUCCCAGGGAAGAAGUUUCUCCAAGAAGAGCAAAUGCGAUAAAUCCGAAGACGGAGAGAAGCUCCCAUUCGUUCAUGUUCGAGCUCGUCGCGGUCAAGCUACGGAUAAUCACAGUUUAGCAGAGAGAGUAAUCAUCUUUGUUUUACUUAAACAUCCAUUAGUGACCGUCACUGGUAAUUAAUUAAUACAUCGCAUACCAACUAUUUUGUUUGGCAUUAGGCGAGGAGAGAGAAGAUCAACGCCAGGAUGAAGCUCCUUCAAGAGUUGGUCCCCGGCUGCAGCAAGGUACUGAUUAAUUUGUCGGACAUCUUAGUAAUCAUUUGACGUGGACUUUAUUCUGAUUAAUUAAUCAUUAAUUAAGAAAAGUGUGUAAUUACCUGAUUGUAUGUUUAGGAUUAUGUGUAGCCCUCACCUUUUGAAAAGUUGUGGUCUUGCUUUUGUACUAAGAACAGUUGGUAUCACUAUUGUCAAUUUUUUGGUGACGUUGAGGUGGGCUGCGUCGUCAUUUCACAUUUUCGCUAGGCUUCCCGUUUCCAGGGCUAGUUUUGUCAUUUGCAAUUGGAUCAUUUGGUUCUCUCGUACGGUAACCGGGACAGUUGCGCUCCUGCAAUUGCACUUCAAAUUAUCUCUGAUAGCGCUGAAUAAAACAUAGGGUUGUAAAAUAACCGUAUUAGCUGGAUAUGCUUCAGUGGCGAAGGAUCAAAUGUUUUGGUCCCAUUUUGCAGACGUGAAAUCUGCGUUCCUUCUUGAAAAGGUGCACCGUACCAACUUCUAUCCCAAGUUUGGUGUCUGUCUCUGAAAAUGUUAACCUACUGGAACAUGUGAGAUAAAAAAGAUCACUUUGAUUAAUUUGUUUGCCAAGUUCUGUAGACCUACAUCACGAUUAGUCGAUUUUAUGUGAGACCAAAAUAUCUGAUUCGUGUCUCGCUGUAUUUGUUUUGAACUUUUGAUAAAGUUUAUUUUCCCUGUUAUUAAUUCGUGGAUAGAAAGAGUUGUAGAUUGCACUUUGUGGUUUAAUCUGGAAACAGCUGAGAAGUUACCCUUUCUUUAGCCUGGCAUAUUUACUUAAGAUGAAUGAUUUGCUUCUGUGAUCAAGUUUUCCUGGUAUGCAGUUAAGUUAUGGCGAUCACAUAUUAUUCUUCCAGCAUAGUCCAUCAAUCUUUGUGUGAAGUUAUUUACUAUUGCUGUGUAUGCAACAGCUCAAUCAUAUGCUAUCUGUGAUAUGCAGAGCUGUAGGCAUUCCCUGGAACUUAAUACUACCAUUACUUGUAAGUUGGAACUGAUUUCUGAAUCCCAAACUAAGUGUACAAAGUUGUGUAUGCAGAUCUCUGGUACAGCACUCGUACUGGAUGAAAUCAUUAACCAUGUCCAGUCCUUGCAACGCCAAGUGGAGGUGAGGACCACAAGUCUAUCAUUGUCUUCUGAAACAAGGGGUCAUUAUGGAAGGGUGUUUUAAAUUAAACUGUUUGUGAUGCAACUGUAUUUCACUGGACUGCAAUCUACAGCAAUUCAGAAGGGAGGGUGCAGGGGUGAAACUCUCUUGAAUGAUGGAUAUAUAUGGCAACUUUUGUCAUCAUGUGACCGACAUGUCCUCUUUUAGUUUUUAGGAAGUUGAGUCUAAGAUUUUACUGAUUAUGCUAAACUGCUGUCUUAGUCUUCAAUUUUUUUACAUUGUUUCAGGUAUUGUCAAUGGAACUUUCAGCGGUGAACCCCAGAAUAGAUUUCAAUAUGGAUAGUAUGAUGGCUGUUGCAGUAAGUUGGCUUCAUCAUUGUUUGAAAUUGUGUUCAUAACUUCAUGUGCUAUACUGUGGGAGCAAAUAAGCUUUUAUGUGUUUGCUACUCUGUAGUCUGCAAAGUUGUACGUGUCUCUUUCAUUAGUUGAAACUAGAACUAGUAGUUAUUUUAGAGUAUAAGACAUGUAGUUCACUGGACAUUAGAUGUUUUUCCUUUUCAUGUAUCUAGAGAGGAAAAAGGAAAAGAGUCGAAUUUCAAGACCCUGCAGUAUCUGUCUGUCUGUCUGUCCUUUUGUCUUCAUGUUUCCAGCCGGGAGGACAAUAUAUAAUAUGCUCACCCACUGGCAGUGUUUCUUAUCGCUACAGAAUUUGGAAAGGUCAAAUUGGGCCGUUGAUCUGGAAAUACUUACUCUUAUCGCUACAGAAUUUGGAAAGGUCAAAUUGGGCCGUUGAUCUGGAAAUACUUACUAUUUGUAGUCUUUUCUAGAGUCUGAUUGAUCAGAAUCAACCUCAGUUAAUCUGUGUAUUUUCAUGGAAACCUGCAUCUGCCACCGACAAGUGUCUGUGUUGGAAAACACACUCUUUAACAAACUUAUGUGUAAUUCACCAACACUUACAAACUCAAACACUGUGCUGUUCAGCAUAUUAACUGUGUAUUUUGGUCGUUUAUCCGUUAACAGUUUACCCAUCCCCGUUGUUUUAUGGCAUGGCUGAUUUAACUGUUUCUUAACUACUUGAUCAAUCUGUUAUUUCUAUGUUAAAUGGAUGGUGCGAAGGAGUAAAUGUUUCUGGCUUCGUAUAAUUAGUUUCUUUUCCAUGGUUUUGUACCCUUCAUAUGGAUCAAAGACAACUAAAUGCCAGCUGAGUUUGAACUGGUUUUUCCUUCACUCAUUGUCUGACGUAUUCAACAUUCUGUGUAAAAAUUUCCAGAGUGGAUCUCUAAUGGAUAGCAACUUCCCAGCUGUAAUGAUGCCUAUUAUGUGGCCAGAAAUACAAGAAAAUGGGAGCAGACAACAGUAUCAACAGCAAUGGAAUUCAGAUGCAGUUCACCAGCCAACUUGGGGGAAAGAAGAUGGCCACAGCAACUUCAUGAGUCGAGAGAACUCGCUGUUGAGUUACGUCUCCUCGGCAAAUUCAGGUAGAAAUGAGUUCAUUUUGCCAUUAGUUGCAUCAAUGAGUACUGGAAUGAAGAUCUGUACUUAUUAAUAGAGAAAAAAUGGUAAAUUAUACUCUUCUACUGUAUAGAGCUAAUGUGGUUGCUGCCGGAUGGGGACAAAUUGACUGGUUUUGGUCAUAAGUACACCCCUACUUGGUCUUACAUUGUUACUACUUUUGGAUGCAGCAUCUCUAAACUCGAAUGAACUAAAAUGGAGCUAUGAACAACGGUGAUUGUAGCUGAGCUAAGGAGUGGGGUAUAUAUAAAUAUGGAAUGGAAUAUGCAGUAGUUGUAUUAGCAGGUAGCAGGCAGGAAUGUGAAUAGAGGAAGGAAAGCUCGAUCUCAUUAUUCAAUUGUCCCUAUUCAUCCGACCGACGAUCAUGGAGGCGAAGAAUUCGGCAGCAAGCAUUGUAUACGACAUUAUAUUGAUGAUAAAACUUGUUUUUCAUAUAUAGAUAUAAGUUAAUUUUUGUAUACAUGUAAUAGAACUAAUCCGUUACAGGUGCUGGAAAAUUGAACGACUGGAGAAUAAUAAGGGGUAUGAAAUGCAUUGCAUCAUCACUACUGACUGUACUAUCCAAGCAGCAGUUGUAAAAGGUAUGCCGAUUGGGCAAGUAGGGAGGAUGUUGUUAUGUGUUACCUUUGUUAAACAAUUUAAAAUUAAAUUAGUUUAAAACAGAUCAGUAGAUGAUUGGAGAAGGGAAAUGAUCCUCUAGAAAUGCUACCAGCCAAAUGAAAUGAAGUCUUCUUGACUCUUGAAAGUUGCAACGGAAAAGUCAAUUCUCUACCGAUUUUGCCAAGAUCCAUCCGCAAAUCAAAUCCAAUCCCCCUCUCUGUCGAAGAAUGCCAACUCUGCUUCUCUACUCCAUCAUCCUCCAUUUCAUCCUUCCCGCCACUUCUUCAUCAUCUUCACUCCCUCCAGCAAUCCAGCUCCCUCACCCGCCCUCCCCUACCACCGCCGUCUACGUCACUGACUAUGGCGCCACCGGCGACGGAGCUCACUACGACACAUACGCCAUCCAAUCCGCAAUCGACUCUUGCUCUCCUUCCUCCUGCUCCUCCUCCACCUGCUACGUCACCUUCCCGCCGGGAACCUACCUAACCGCCACCAUCCACCUCAAGUCAAACGUCAUCCUCGAUAUCCAACCCGGCGCAGUCCUAUUGGGCGGUCCAAGGGUUGAGGACUACCCCAAGCAGUCCAGCAGGUGGUAUGUGGUCCUGGCGGAGAACUGCACGGACGUCGGGAUCACCGGCGGGGGGAGUGUCGACGGCAAUGGCCCCAUGUUUGUUGAGAGGUACAACAGUGUGAAGAACGUGAUGGUGAGCUGGAACGCCACUGGCGAUUGUUUGGGGGACGAGUGCCGCCCUCGAUUGGUUGGUUUCCUUGGCUGCACUAACGUCCGCGUCUGGAAUGUUAACUUCACCCAGCCCGCUUACUGGUGGUCAGUUCUUGUUCUUUCAAUUUCUAUUCAAUCUGUUCAUUUCCUUAGCUUAUCUGCAGAAUUUGCUGUCAAGCAUAGUGAAUGCGAGUUAAUAUACAGUCAGACUUUCACAGUCAACUGCUAGUUAAGAUCAAUGUUGAUGAAGUUAGGCAAAUGAUUGAUGUGAGAAUUCAAAUUUCAAAACCAACUGAUGGUGGCAAGGGACAAGCUUAUCCUCUGCAGUAUUGCCUGGAUUGGUUAAGAGGAUAUUUCUUUAUUGUCGCUACAGACAUAAUUGGUUAAAGAAAAUAAAAGAGUGGAUAUUGUAUAGACUAUCUACUAUCCAACGACAGAAGAUGACUAGUAGCGUUGUUUGCUGCUUUGUCUUGGUAUGAAUUGUUUGCCUAGAAAAGCUUUUUCUAUUCUUCAUUGAUUCUGAAUGCGACAUCUGAUCUACCAAUUCUGUUUUGAGAAAUUUGGAAGCUAUCUCCAAACGAAUGAAUACCAAAAGCUCACGCUUUCAUUGUUUGGAGAUGGCAGAUGCAUAAGGUUAUAUAUCAUACAUACUUACGGGGAGAAUCAGAUAUCUACUUGAGUUUCUUUAUUUCGUAAACAAACCUGACGAUUGCAUUUUUGCAGCUUUCACCUGGUAAGGUGCAGCAACUCUCUAAUCCAUGAUGUUUCUAUAUACGGCGACUUCAACACACCUAACAACGAUGGGAUCGACAUUGAAGAUUCGAAUAAUACAGUCAUUACACGAUGCCACAUUGACACGGGAGAUGACGCCAUUUGUCCCAAGACAUACACAGGGCCCCUCUAUAACUUGACUGUAACCGAUUGUUGGAUUCAAACAAAAUCUUCAGCUAUCAAGCUUGGGAGUGCUAGUUGGUUUGACUUUAAAGGGCUGGUCUUUGACAACAUCACCAUCGUGGAUUCGCAUAGAGGACUUGGAUUUCAGAUACGAGAUGGAGGUUGGUUUUUUCUAUUUGUGCUUAAAUGAGAAAAGUCUAUAAAAAUAAACAGUCCUGACUCUAUCAAUCUGCUAGUGCUUGAAUUGGAUACAGUUCUUGAUAAAAAUUAUACCUUUCUGAAUUGGUUCAUAGUCCAUUCACCGAAAUUAGUUGUUCCAAUGAGAGCACAGAAUGGAGAACUUUGUAUAGUAGCAAACUCCAUUAUAUAUCUCAUGAUCUGUUUAUUGUCAUUUCUUACUUUUCCAGCUCAUUGGUCUGCAUGACGCAGAGAUGGUUAUAAAAACCUGAAACUGGAAUAAUUGAAUCUGUUUCAGGAUCUUUGUUGUAGCAAAGAUGUCCAUACUUCCAACAACAAUCGACUCUGUGAAUGAUGAUAAUGAAUCCCUUAAACUUUUUUGGUCUUUCGUGCAGGAAAUGUGAGCGACAUCGUUUUCUCCAACAUAAACAUAAGCACAAGAUACUACGACCCAUCAUGGUGGGGGAGAGCAGAACCCAUCUACGUGACAACGUGCGCAAGGGACUCGAGUUCAAAGGAAGGCUCCAUAUCCAACCUCGUCUUCAUCAACAUAACUGCGCACUCUGAGAACGGAAUCUUCUUAUCAGGUUGCAAAGGUGGCAAGCUCAGCAACUUGAGGUUCACAAACGUGAAGCUGACGUACAGAAGGUGGACAAAUUUCAAAGGUGGGUUGGUGGAUUACCGACCCGGAUGCCAGGGGCUUGUGAAGCAUGGCGCUGCAGGGAUGAUAAUGGAACACGUCCAAGGCCUGGAGGUUGAGAAUGUGAGCAUGACAUGGUCCGGUGGUGAAGUUGCUGAAGAAGAAUGGGAUAACCCUCUUGAGUUUAGACCUUCUACCGUUAACAACGUCUCUUUCCUCAAUUUUCAUUCGGGGAUGUACUACGACGCCGCACUGUGAGACGGAUAAAGCUGACGAGUUUCUGUCCAAUUAUAAAACGUUGUCGUUUAGUUUUUUUUUUUAAUUUAAGAAAUGACCUUGUGGUAGUCCACAUCAGCAGGAAAGAGUGACAACGCAAUCUCCGACGUGUCCAUAUCACUUUUUUCCUUCAUAAUUUGAUUAUAGGUACGCUGUGAACAAAAUAAAGAUUAAUGAUGAAUGUGAUUGAUUUUAAGUAAUUUAAUAAUAUUUGAUACUUUUAAAUUCAUAUGUUAUAAACAAAACAAUUAAACAAAUAUACGUCUUAAAAUUAAUCUCACAAACUAAAUAAAUUUUUUUAUUAUUUAUAUUUAAUAUCUUGAUUUCUCCUCUCGAAACAUUAAAACAAGUGUCAUUUGCCAAAUAUAACGUAGCGGCAUAUAGGAGUCAAAACGACAGAGUUUGAGAAAGAGAAGUCCGUCCGCCAGCAUUCCUAAUUUCCAUAAAACCAAAGGGCAGCCCCGAACGCAUCAAUUCCUCUCUCGACCCUAAUAGCACGCCGGAAACCGAAAAAUGCCUACGCUGCAACUUUUCAAGUCGGCGUCCACCAUGCUCCGCCAACGGCUGGCCGGAUCUCUCCGCACCCGCGGCGGCCACUCCGGACCUAGCCCAUGGGUAACCCCAGGCCACGAGGAGCGUCCCAAGGGCUACCUAUUCAGCCGGACUCCGCCGCCGCCUGGACAGUCCCGCAAGUGGGAGGACUGGGAGCUUCCUUGCUACAUCACCAGCUUCCUCACCAUCGUCAUCCUCGGCGUCGGCCUCAACUCCAAGCCCGAUCUCACCAUCGAGACAUGGGCUCACCAGAAGGCCCUAGAGCGCCUCGAGAUGGAGAAAUUGGCUCUCUCUUCCACUGAUUCCGAUUGAUACCAAACCGGAAAUGUGGCGGUUUCCCCGUUUUCCCAGUCUGAUCGAUCGACAGUUGUUUGAAUGGAAGGGGUUUCCAAUUCUCUAUUAUGUUGUCGAUAAUGUGUAGUUUGAGAAAAUAAAAGUUUUGCGACUUAACUUCGUUUUUUGUUGAUGAAAUUGGGGAUUCAUCUGGAUUGUUUUAGUUCUGGCACUUAUAGCUGUUUACUUAUGUAUGGAUUGGCAUUCCAAGUUUCAUACUUCAGUCUAAUUGCACCGUUAAGGCUGCUAAAUUUCGUUAUCUCGAUUUUAUUUCUGCAUCUGCCUGGAGAAUUUUUGGCUUCAUUUACUCAUUAUCCAGUUGUGGUUGACUUGCACUUUGUUGCUUAUGUCCUUAAGCCUGGCCAGCUCACUCUGAUGCUCUGAUGCGGUGCUGGAUUAAGUAUUUUGAUUCUUAUAAUGCCUUUCAUUUGUGAUUUCAAUGAUCUUUUGAACUUUAGAGAUAUUUAUUGUUUGGAAUUCAUUAACAAAUUGUUCAUUGGUUUACUUGGCUGUUAAAUUGUCUCAAGUAGUCAAGUAAGAAUGUCUUUCCAUUGUCAACCGCAGUAUUGUGAGUUUUGCUUGAUCACUUGUAUGUUAUUGGAGAAUUAGGUGCUUCAAAUAUGUUUUGGUGUCGUUGACUUGAAGCAGGCAUAUGAAUAGCUUUGUGUCGGAUCUGGUUCACAAUUCAACGGGUAUUGUUCAGGUAAAGGUGGAUUUCUUGUUAUUUGUUAGAGAACUUACUUGUGGGUAACUUGAACAGCUUGCUUACAGGUAGAUGUGAGUUUUCUGUUUGGUUCUUACACUAUCUACCUGUGGAUGAUUUGGGACAUUCUUGUACCAAUGUGGCCUCCCCUCCUUAUUCCUAUUUUGAUUUGAAUGCUUAGAUUAUUAUCUCGAUGUUCUGUGUAGCUUACUUUAUGGUCCAUACGUACUGGUUAAAUAAGUUCAGAUUCAGUGAGCGUAGAAUUUCUUCUGUGGUAUGUUGUGGCUUUAUGAGGGAACUGGCAAAAUAUGGGAGUUGUUUUUUGGCACUUGAAGUGAUUUGUUAUUAUCCUAAUAGAGUAAUAGGAGAAUGCUUGGCUUGAGGCUAGAACAUAGGAUUGGUUGAUCGAGUAAGAAUUGCUGGCUAGGAUAAAAGGCAAUGCAUAAUAAGUUGUGGAGUUUAGCAUGUUCUAGGAUGUUGUUAGAUGCUAUAUGGUGUAGGCUGUAUGAAUCUGUACUAUUGACAUGAACAUCUGCAGAGUCUUUCAAUCCUGUUGAUAUCAUCUGAUUCAUCGAACUGGAAGUGUAGUAUCCAGUCCAUCUCAUCACUAGUUUUUUUAUGAAUUAAGCCGUCUUAUUAUUCAUGAUCAAAUCUUUGCGAAAGGAUGUUUGUUUUCGGAAGGCUGCAAAAUAGGUUAUACUCUGUUAUUGGAUGUUGAAUAAUGAGUCUCGAAAUUAAGUUUGGAGUUGAUUAGGUAGCUGUUUGCAUAAGAUUAUUCCGCACAUUGCUGCCGAGUAAGUAGCAGUAGCUGUCCUGCAACGAAACACAUGAUUGGAAGAGGUACUGCUGCUGCGCAUGAAUUGAGUAGGUUUGUUGGAAACUGGAGUGUUGUUGCAUGAUGUUGGUUAACACAUGAGAUGCUUGGUAGGUGGUAAUUAGAGAACUCUAAAUUUUGGAAUUAGCAUCACCAUCUUUAGCUGCAGCAUGGUUUAUCUGAUCAGAUGAAGGGAAACCCCUUCUUGUAAACGCAGCCAUGCAAACCCACGUUAUUUUAGACCCGUUUCAUUACUUGUCUGAUUCUUAGAGGGACUUCUCAGAUCUUGUUUAUCGACUCUCGGAGUAGGGGUGGAAGUUUAAUCCAAACCUGUGGAUACUCAUCUUCGACGUGAUGUUAGAAAUUGUUAGUAAUAGAGUCCAUGCUUCUGAAGUCGUGUUCCACAAAAAUAAAACUCAUUCAAUUCAAGAUCCUUAAUUAUUCUCCCUUAGUUCUUGUUUCUUUUUUGCAACCCCAACUUCCAAUUCAAACAUCAUGGUUCCAGAGGUAGACCAUAGAAUGGUUUCAGGGCCCAAGGUACGCAAGGAAUCGCUGGUGGCCAAGCAGCCCUUGCGAAAUCCACGGAGGCCGAAUCGUGAAGAUAAAAUUCUGAUGGCCAGACGCAUAGCAACAUCUUAGCAGACUGUCUGAAGCAAACAAUAAGGGUCUUUGUUAUCAUGUUGUCUAAUGCAACAUGUGUCCUGAAAAAACUACUUGUAAUAGGGUGUGUGAAUCUUGCUAUCAACUUAUGAACAAUACCGGUACGUGAUUUGUAAAAAAAAACAAUACCGGUACAUACAAUAUCGUCCUAUAGCAUCGACUCCAUACUUUUUAGGAUCGAUCAUCAGAUACACUCUUAGUUCUCACUCUUGAUUAUGAGGUGGUUCACUUCUUGAACUCAAGUGACUAACACCGACAAUGCGGAAGAUUCACCUGAACCCAUAAACAGAUCAUAUGCUAGACGAAAAAAUCUCUUACAAUUCAUAAAUACUUGCUGACAAUAUGUUUAAAAACAUCCCAUAUUAUUUACACGCCGCUAAUAUGGAAAUAUAAUUCACAUCUACCAGAUGAUUUGGAUUUUCUUCAGCACAAACUAGCUAUAGUUGAAAAGGAAAUUGGCAUCCAUGGACCAUGUGGAUGUUGAGCGUAGAGAUCUAUUUGGUGACUUGGGCAAUCAUAUUGCUAAUGGAAGUGGCCUCCUCCUUAGCCAUCUCCACCAUGGAAUCCUGCAUUCAUGAAUCAACUCAUAGUUAUUGCAUUCUUAUAUUUCCAAAGGCCAUAACACAAUCAAAUAUCAUACAUGCUUUCUUUCUUCUUACAUGCGUGGACAUCAAUCUUAUCACAGCUCGUUUACUCGAUUCCUGAAACUCCCCUGCUAUCAGAAUCUCAUCCAGUAUGUAGUAAGCCUUGUGAAAAUUGAAGAUCAAGUCCAAUUCACACACCUAAUCAAAACCAUUCCAAAUUCAGUACUCUGGUCAGACGAAACGAGAAUUGAGGAAUCGCAGCAUUAAGAAUACUUACGCUACCAAAAUAUCGAUCAAGUAUUUCGACAAAGUGGUGAAUGAUGUCAAGAACUUCCAACUCGUUGUCCGCCUCGUCGAUGCACAUGCAGAAAUACAACCCUGCAUACCUUCUGUAAAUGACCCUGUACCCUCUCCACUCGACGAAAUUGCAGAGCUUCGGACCCCGAUUCAGCACUAUUCCACUCAGCUCCCUUAUGACCUUCGAUCUUUCCUUCUGGGUGUAAGGAGAGUACCAUUUCGUCAGCCUCACUUUCCCUUGACGACUGAUGAGAAGAACGAAGUGAAUCUGCAAACACAACGUGAGAUUAGUGUGACAAUGAUCAUCUGUAUAUUAAUCAAGCCAUGGAAACGAACCAUCUGGUAGAGUUGGAAACCAGCUAUAGCUUAAAAUCAAACGCCAGAAUGAAUAUGAAUUCAGAGCAGAAGGAAUUUUGUUGUCUAUGGGGUGAUGAAUUAUUGAUGAGCAAAUUAAUUGUUCAUGAGGGUUAUUUACUCCGCGAAAUGCUCUCCCACCCUCCAUUUCUAUCAACACUCCAAGUUUUUCUCUUCAAUAACCGGUCUUCCAUUUCUAUCGCCUCUCACGUUAUGUAUCACUGUUUAACUUAACUUUUUAUUCCCCCCUUGUUAUCAUUUUUGAACCACCUUAAUAAGAUAGGACUGAAUGUACGUACAACUAUAAAACUUAACUUCAGUGUUGUUAUCUCCACCUUUAUUCCAGGUUUGAUUUGUGCAUAAAUUCUCAUCAUUAAUAAUACAAACUUGAUCUCCUUCUGGAAAAAAACUUCAGUGUUAGAGGUACGUAUGAUACUAAAUUAGCAAUUUCGAGUUUUGCUGACGGAGAACAAGAAUUGGGGGUGUAGCUCAUAUGGUAGAGCGCUCGCUUCGCAUGCGAGAGGCACGGGGUUCGAUUCCCCGCACCUCCAUUUUUUUUACAGUCAUUUUCAUCUCCGGCGCCAAAAUCAGUGUGGAAUGGCGGGAACCGGCAAACAAAUUGAAACAGAAAACCCAGAUAAAAUAAAUCCAUCUUUGCCUGCCUGCAUCCCCGCUACUAAUCAGUAAUCACAGUUUUCUGCUUCUUCAAGGCGUUCUUCAAAUUUCUCCGUCACAUCCGCCAUUUCGGUCUGAUCGUAGUUAUUUAUUUAUUUUCCCUAUUUCGGCAUACCUUUCAUCGCAACUGGGUGAAGAUGGGAAAGAGAAAGAAAUCUAGGGUUUCACGCGAAGACGAGGAAAUCGAAUUGGAAGGAGAAGAAGAACGAAACGAGGAUCAGAAUGACAAUGAGACCACCAACCAGUCCUCUGGAGACGAGAAAAGCCUUUACGAGGUACUUCAAUUUCGCCUUCUCGCCGUCAAUUGAUGUUUAGUGGGAUUUGCCCUAUUUGAUCUCAUUUGUUAUGAAUUAGGGUUUUGGGGUUGGUUGUGUGUGGAUAUUCUGUGUUUCUUUUUUUUUUGUCACUUGACCUCAACUAUUUGUUGGUAACCCAAUUUAUGUGCAGUGAUGAAUGUGCUGCAUUACUUGUUUGGUUAUUCGAACCGGCAGCCUUGUUAGCAGCUCUUAGUCUGAAAUUCGAAACUGAUACUCUGGAAUUCCUUUCAAAGUUUCAAUCAUUGUGCUUGCGAUGAACUAUGGAAAUAUGAGUACACGACUGAACUUCUUGAGCCUAUGAGAAUUUCAAGAGUGCCACUUACUUCCCCUAAACAGCAGUUUGAUUUGUUGGUUGAACAUAUUGCGCUAGAUGUUUACUUAUGAAAUGCAUUUCUGAUAUUUAUUGUUAUUAUACAUGAGGAUCUGGCAGCAUUUUACUUGAUCCGAAUAGGUUUUCCGGAAACAACCAACUGGAAUUUGCCUUAUGUCAGUUAUGUGUUAAUGUUCUUCGCCUGGUAGUUGCGUUUUUAUAUUUAUCAAGUUUCCCUCCUUAAGUUUCUUUGUUACGUAUACAUUUUGUAUAGUUAGGAUGGGGUGCUAGGUUCACUAAAUCAUAUAAUGGUGGAUGUAGGUUCUUGGUAUUAAGAAGACGGCCACUCAGCAAGAGAUAAAGAAAGCAUACCACAAAUUGGCCCUGAGACUCCAUCCCGACAAAAACCCAGAUGAUGAGGUAAUGAGUUGUGGAUCAGUAGAUGGGUGUCUUUUCUUCGGGCGUAAAUUAUUUUGAUAGUUACAAAUUUUCCUCCUUACAGGAAGCGAAAGAGAAGUUUCAGCAAUUACAGAAGGUGAUUUCCAUUCUCGGAGAUGAGGAAAAGCGGGCAGUCUAUGAUCAAACUGGCUGUGUUGAUGAUGCGGUAAGUUCUUAGGACCCGGGAUCUAACAUGUAGUUACGCGUGGCUUGUUUUCAUGGUCCAAAAAUCAAACCAAAACUGAAGUCCAUGUUUGACACUGGUAUGUGUGAUACUAUAUCAUAUGGCAAUCAACAGUGUUGACGAGAGCAAUUGCUAUGCAAAGGAAGAAUCAACAAUUGUUCGUUACCACCACACUUUUGUAUCUUGAUGGAGUAUGUUUUUCAUUUGGCUUUGCUAUUUUCAGGACCUUGCAGGUGAUGUUGUCCAGAAUUUGAAGGAAUUUUUCAGAACAAUGUACAAAAAGGUAGGAUUUUUAUUCGUGUAUCUACUAAUCCUUAUGGUAUCACGUUGCACACCUUCGUAUCACCAAUGUUGUAAGACUGUAACUUAUUGCGUUAAAAACAGGUUACAGAAGCUGAUAUUGAAGAGUUUGAAGCAAAUUAUAGAGGAUCUGAUUCGGAGAAAAAUGACUUGGUUGACCUUUAUAAGCAGUGCAAGGGCAGUAUGAAUAGGUAUGUAUGUAAGCUUUCAAUCUAGUAUAUGAUGACCUUCCGGAUUUAACCUAUACAAAGGUUUUAACUUGUCUCUAAUUCCCAGGGUCUUCUGUUCUAUGCUCUGCUCUGACCCUAAGCUUGAUUCACACCGAUUCAAAGUCAUUCUGGAUGAGGCAAUAUCUGCAGGUAAUGCUUCUGUAGUUAUGAAGAAUCAUUUAUCAUUUCUGGCUCAAAAUAUUUCAAUCAUGAGACUAUUAGAUCUUGAAUUGUCUUGUAAUUUUUUCCUGGUUGAACCAUUUAAGCACACAUUAGAAUGUUUGUUUGUUAAAUUUGCAGGAGAAGUGAAAGCAACAAAGGGUUACGAAAAAUGGGGGAAGAAAGUAGAAAGAACGAAGGCGCCUAAGAAUCUGUUGAGAAGGAGAGGUAAACAGAAGCAUAGAGCGGUGGAAGACGAUCUACUUGCUCUUAUGGCGAAUAGGCAGAGUGAGAGGAAAGAUCGGUUUGAUUCAAUGUUCUCUUCACUUGUGUCCAAAUAUGGGGGAGGUAGCACACCUUCAGAACCAACUGAUGAGGAGUUUGAAGCCACCAGAAAGAAAAUGGAGAGCCGUAGAGCAUCAUCAUCCAAGAAGGCUAAGAGAAAGUAGACAUGCAGGCGCCUUCUGGUUGCAGAGAUUUUUGUGAGAUAAACAAAACUCUUCCAGAAUCGGAUGCUGAGUUCAAUAUAUGAACUGAUAACUGAUAAGUCUGUUACUUCCGUAACUCAACAAAACUUGUUUCAGAGUCGAAUUGUUUGCUUGGAAAUUGGUUGUAUCUUCAUUCGUCCCCUUAUUAUCGGUCACUACAAACUAUAAGAUUUUAGCGACAGAAAAGUAGAUGUCGAAUAAAGGUAAGCAUUGGUCGCAGGAAAUCAUUCGUGACAGAUACAAACGUCACCAUGUCUAUCACGAAUACUAUGGUACCCGAAUUUUAGUUUCUGUCAUUAAUUUUUAACUUCUGGGACAAAUUGGCAAGAGGAUGUGAUCUCUUUCGUGACCAAAUAUUUAGUGACCGAUUGCAUUUCCUUUGAAAUUGGCCAAACGUUGCAGUGUCUUUUUCAAUUAGCCAACUUUUGGCCUAGUUCAAUGGAAACGGAAUUUGUAAGCCCUUGUGGUUAUGAUCAUUUUUAUAAUUUUGAUUGGGUUUAAUCUGAAUUUAUUAUUUCGCAUUAAUUUGUGAUUGUUAAUAUAAUUUUUUUUGUAAAGAGCAUUAAUUUAUUACUUCUAAUGUGAGGUAGGAGGAUGUAGGGGAAAUCGGUCUAGCAAAGCAAAUUAUAAUCAAAGAAAUGGAAGUCUAUAAUUACAUAAUUAUAUUAAAAUAAUACCAAGUUAUUUGAUGAAUGAUAAGAUUCAAUCGAUUGAAUUAUCUGCGCCGAUACAAUACUUAAAAUACUCAAAGAAAAUCAUAAUUAAGAAAUGGAAUUGUAUCAAUAUAUUAAUGAACAAAUAUCCUUCAUUUCAAUAAAAAAAUGCUACCAACUUAGGUGCAUUUUAAUUCAACUUACAAACAGAUUGGAAUGAAAAACGGAGUAAAAUUAUAUGAAUGCAUUCCCUUCUCUUGCAUUUUUUUUCGUUAUUUAUAUUUUCAUUUUUAUUCAUUGCUCAUGUUUUCGCUCGUCGUUUGAUUUAUGUAUAAAUUGAUGAUGAUCACUGGAAAUAGUAACCAAAGAGAGAAACGAGGGAAGCUCCAACCAAAGUGCCAAAAGCAGGCAAUGCGGAGCUGGCAUCACUGGUGGGGCCACCAGCAGGCCCUCCUGCGGCGGUAGGACCUCCGGCGGCCAUAGGGGCGCCGGCGGCAGUGACGGGGCUUGCGGACGGAGUGAGCAAUGCAGCUUCUUCAGCGGCCAAGACAGCGCUGAUGGAGGCGGCGGCGAAGAUGACGGCGCAGGAGAUCUUCUUCAUGUUCAUGGUUGCAAAUUAGGAUGCUUUGGCCACGAAGAGAAGAAGACUUUACUGGACGACGUACGGAACCUGCUUUAUUAAUUUAUUUCUUUUGCUUCUUUUUUUGUGUGUGUUUUUUUUGCAGGUUUGAAUAUGAAAGUGGGUUUGAAGGACAAUUUAUAGGGAGAAAUUAGACAUAUUUUUUGGAACUAUUCUUGGUAAUGGCUAUUCUUAGAGAUUUGGGUUAGGGAAACAGAAAUUAUUGGCUGUAAUUAAGAAAUUAUUGACCAAUUCUUCUGCCCUUCGUGUUGAAGUUCAGCUCAAAAGGGCAGUUUCGUAAUUAUACACUUUUUAUUAGAUUUAUUUAUUUUUUCUAAUUUUUUAUUUUAAUUAAUAUCUUUUACACAUGAAUUUGGAUUCGAAUAAUUUUUGUGUCAAAAUCUUAGUUUUUUAAAUACGAUUAAAACUAGUACGAACUUUUUUUUCUGAGGCCAAAGACGUGAGUUGACUGCUCAAAACUACACAUUAUAUGUAUCACCAAACUAUAGGUAGUUAUUAGCAACUUAGACGUAGUUAUUUAGGAACUNNNNNNNNNNNNNNNNNNNNNNNNNNNNNNNNNNNNNNNNNNNNNNNNNNNNNNNNNNNNNNNNNNNNNNNNNNNNNNNNNNNNNNNNNNNAGGUAGAGGUAGUUAUUAGCUACUUUGAGCUAGUUAUUAACAACUUACUUUUACUUAUAAACAACUUAAACCUAAAGUAGACAUAAAGAAGGAAAAGUAGUUAUUAGCAACUUAGACAUAGGUAUUGAGGAACUUCUCGUAGUUAUUAACAAUUUAGACGUAGUUAUUGAGGAACCUCUCGUGGUUAUUAGCAACUUAGACGUAGUUAUUCUUCUCGUAGUUAUUAGCAAAUUGGAGGUAUUGAACGCUCCAUGUUCCUAAUAUGUACAUUUUACGGCUGAAUGAUGUAAGAUCAUCCCCUCAAAAUGAAGUGAUGACGAGCCCCCUAAAAAACACGAGUGAUUUCCUCGGAAAAAUACACGUUUUUAAAAGUUCUCAAAUACUAUCAAUAUUGAUAUCANNNNNNNNNNNNNNNNNNNNNNNNNNNNNNNNNNNNNNNNNNNNNNNNNNNUGUCAAGAGUAUGUUAAAAUAAAAAGAGAUAUACUCGAAAUAAGGUGUAAAAAAUUAAUAUCGAACUUGUUACAUUCGUCUUCAAAAGGUGAGUCUUUCUAUAUAAAAAAUAUAAAAAUCAGGUUCAAACUGAACGAAUUAUGUUAGUUCAAAAAAAUAAUAGAAAAAAUACAUUUUUAUGAUAUUUAAACAGCCUACUCAAAUUUGAGCUGUUAAAUUAAAAAGGGUUGAAUAAAAGAUUAUUUGAUGACUAAGAUUCUUUCAGCGGCCUGCGGAAGAGCCUCUUUUAACACCAGAAGCAGGUCUUAUUAGAAUGACUUUUGUAAGGGUGUGGUUUUGUCUGGUUCAAGGAGGAAAAUCCUCAUUGAUCUGGUUUAUGUCAUUAGAUCUAUUUUAGUUUUUCAACAGAGUCGCCCAUUAGCAUAUAUCGGGCGGCCUUUCGAUACAGGACCUCAAUAUUUUGGGAUAGGGCUUCUAAAUUUUCAUUGGGCGGCCCUGUUUUACAAUAUACAUUUUUUUUAAUUCUAACCUCCAACUUCAAUUACGUUGGAGGUCUCAUGUAGGCAUGGAUUGUAUGACAAUUUUCCACACAUAAGACCUCCAACUUACUCGGAGUUGAAGGCUAAUAGGUGCAGUGAAUCUAGUAGACAAUUCUAAAAUUAAAAACCUCUUGAACAAUGAUUAGAGUAUAGACUAAAGUCAUCUGACUCGCAUCUCUUUGAUGCGUUGGAUGAAAUCUAUUCUACGCACACUACCUUUUACUAAAGCUUACCACAAGCAGACUAGAAUUCUUCCUAGUAAGGAGAAACUUUAUCUUUGGUACCAUGGUGGACAUUCCUACUUCCUGCGACAUUGUGGAUAUUGUUGAGCAUUGUUUUCUCAAUUUGAGCUCGCUUUUGAACUUACGAAACUUAUCGGGUAUAGCCCCUUAUGUGACACAUUAGCUAGGUUGGCUUGAACAAUGGUGCUUCCGUUUGAAGAACUGGAUAAUUUGACAUUGCUCGCUGUGUCAUCUUGAAAGUGUCCAUUCAAGCAUGUACCUUGUAAGGCAUGCCAGGAAAAUGUAAAUAAUAUGGUGAAAAUUGUGGAGAGAGGCUGAAACUUGGAGCCAUUAGUUGUUCGCCAAAUGUCACACUAGCGAACACAAAAGAAAAUAUCUCGACUUCUUUACUGCAACGUUCGUUGUGAACACAAAAACUGAAGCAUGGGAAUCAUGACAAAGAAAGAACACAGCGUCAGUUUGUAAUUAAAUGUACUCACAUGUAUACCACCACUAUGUGUGUGUGGAUUCGAGAAUUGUAACGUGUCGUGACAAUGGUUAUCUACCGUCCAGCUGUCAUCCAAGCAAGCACGUGCCAUAGCCUGUACAACAAAGCCCCAUACCUCCCGAGCCCAGCCCAUAACCAUAAAUUCAAUGGUCGAUUGCAAUGAAAUCCAACUUGAAAAUAAUAUGUAUAAUUAAGAACAAGAUUCUUAAUGCUGUGUAGCCCACACCGCAACGGAAUAAUUUUUCUUUUAGCUGUCUCCACCAUAUCAUGUCGACCAAUUAAUUCCUACAUAUAUUUUUUUUCAUUUAUUCGCUUUUAAUUUAAGCACAAGAGGGCCCCACCUCGCCCACCUGCCGCGCCGCGGCCGUUGCUCCGCCCAAAAACCCUUGCUAUAUAUAAAUCAUCCUCUCCCCCCACUUUGCAUUCCUUCAACCCACAGCAGCUAACUCUCAACUCUCUCAAAUUUCCAAACUCUCUUCAAAACCCUAUCCCUCUAUUCAUCCCCAAAACUCCUCUGUCCUCUACAAUGGCCCAUUCGAGCUUCUCAAAGGCAGCUACCCUCUCCGCGGCUGUCCUCGUCGCUUCCCUGGCGGGCCUGGGGUCCGCUCAGGGCAUGAUGGCCCCCCCUCCUCCGCUUGUCCUCGUCGCUUCCAUGGCCGCCAUGGUAUCCGCUCAGGACAUGAUGGCCCCUGCUCCCGCUCCCGCGAGCGUGGCCGGCGCUGGCUUCUCCGUUCCCGUUUCCGGAGCUGUUGUCGCAGUGUCCCUUGUGGCUUCCCUUAUGGGUUUCUUGAAGAUGUAGAGCGAUUUCCUCUCCGAUUUCUCUACCAUUCCUUCUUCUGAUUCCCCUCUCCUUUUCUCCGCUUUUUCCCUUUUUUGUGCUCUAUUGAGAUGUUGUGGGUUUUGUUUGUAUAUUGGGUUUGUGGUGGGGGUGUGUGAUGGUGGAGACGACUACUGUAUGACUGUAUCGGAUUCAUUGAUCUUUAUAUAUAUAUAAC